GAUGAACGCUGGCGGCGUGCCUAAUACAUGCAAGUCGAGCGAACGGACGAGAAGCUUGCUUCUCUGAUGUUAGCGGCGGACGGGUGAGUAACACGUGGAUAACCUACCUAUAAGACUGGGAUAACUUCGGGAAACCGGAGCUAAUACCGGAUAAUAUUUUGAACCGCAUGGUUCAAAAGUGAAAGACGGUCUUGCUGUCACUUAUAGAUGGAUCCGCGCUGCAUUAGCUAGUUGGUAAGGUAACGGCUUACCAAGGCAACGAUGCAUAGCCGACCUGAGAGGGUGAUCGGCCACACUGGAACUGAGACACGGUCCAGACUCCUACGGGAGGCAGCAGCAGGGAAUCUUCCGCAAUGGGCGAAAGCCUGACGGAGCAACGCCGCGUGAGUGAUGAAGGUCUUCGGAUCGUAAAACUCUGUUAUUAGGGAAGAACAUAUGUGUAAGUAACUGUGCACAUCUUGACGGUACCUAAUCAGAAAGCCACGGCUAACUACGUGCCAGCAGCCGCGGUAAUACGUAGGUGGCAAGCGUUAUCCGGAAUUAUUGGGCGUAAAGCGCGCGUAGGCGGUUUUUUAAGUCUGAUGUGAAAGCCCACGGCUCAACCGUGGAGGGUCAUUGGAAACUGGAAAACUUGAGUGCAGAAGAGGAAAGUGGAAUUCCAUGUGUAGCGGUGAAAUGCGCAGAGAUAUGGAGGAACACCAGUGGCGAAGGCGACUUUCUGGUCUGUAACUGACGCUGAUGUGCGAAAGCGUGGGGAUCAAACAGGAUUAGAUACCCUGGUAGUCCACGCCGUAAACGAUGAGUGCUAAGUGUUAGGGGGUUUCCGCCCCUUAGUGCUGCAGCUAACGCAUUAAGCACUCCACCUGGGGAGUACGACCGCAAGGUUGAAACUCAAAGGAAUUGACGGGGACCCGCACAAGCGGUGGAGCAUGUGGUUUAAUUCGAAGCAACGCGAAGAACCUUACCAAAUCUUGACAUCCUUUGACAACUCUAGAGAUAGAGCUUUCCCCUUCGGGGGACAAAGUGACAGGUGGUGCAUGGUUGUCGUCAGCUCGUGUCGUGAGAUGUUGGGUUAAGUCCCGCAACGAGCGCAACCCUUAAGCUUAGUUGCCAUCAUUAAGUUGGGCACUCUAAGUUGACUGCCGGUGACAAACCGGAGGAAGGUGGGGAUGACGUCAAAUCAUCAUGCCCCUUAUGAUUUGGGCUACACACGUGCUACAAUGGACAAUACAAAGGGCAGCGAAACCGUGAGGUCAAGCAAAUCCCAUAAAGUUGUUCUCAGUUCGGAUUGUAGUCUGCAACUCGACUACAUGAAGCUGGAAUCGCUAGUAAUCGUAGAUCAGCAUGCUACGGUGAAUACGUUCCCGGGUCU
Molecule: ribosomal RNA, 1372 nt
Filed under: uncultured bacterium
Lineage: Bacteria
Description: bacterial SSU rRNA
Rfam family: Bacterial small subunit ribosomal RNA
Source: RNAcentral